AGCAGCCGCGGUAAUUCCAGCUCCAAUAGCGUAUAUUAAAGUUGUUGCAGUUAAAAAGCUCGUAGUUGAAUUUCGGGGUCAGCAGGUCGGUCGUGCCAAUGGUAUGCACUGGCCUUGCUGAUUCCUCCCUCUUGAUGAGCCGUAAUGCCAUUAAUUUGGUGUUGCGGGGAAUCAGGACUGUUACUUUGAAAAAUUAGAGUGUUUAAAGCAGGCAAGCGCUUGAAUACAUUAGCAUGGAAUAAUGAAAUAGGACGUUUGAUCCUAUUUUGUUGGUUUCUAGGAUUGACGUAAUGAUUAAUAGGGAUAGUUGGGGGCAUUAGUAUUCAAUUGUCAGAGGUGAAAUUCUUGGAUUUAUUGAAGACUAACUACUGCGAAAGCAUUUGCCAAGGAUGUUUUCAUUAAUCAAGAACGAAAGUUAGGGGAUCGAAGACGAUCAGAUACCGUCGCAGUCUUAACCAUAAACUAUGCCGACUAGGGAUCGGAUGAUGUUAAUUUUUAAUGA
Molecule: ribosomal RNA, 502 nt
Filed under: uncultured Glomus
Lineage: Eukaryota; Fungi; Glomeromycota; Glomeromycetes; Glomerales; Glomeraceae
Description: SSU rRNA
Rfam family: Eukaryotic small subunit ribosomal RNA
Source: RNAcentral